RNAcentral lists this ribosomal RNA (429 nucleotides) under Acidobacteriota bacterium. Its description in RNAcentral is "Acidobacteria bacterium partial 16S ribosomal RNA". It matches the Rfam family "Bacterial small subunit ribosomal RNA", at positions 355 to 776 of the family's 1533-position model. Lineage: Bacteria; Pseudomonadati; Acidobacteriota. The record is from RNAcentral.
UGGGGAAUUUUGGACAAUGGGGGAAACCCUGAUCCAGCCAUCCCGCGUGUGCGAUGAAGGCCUUCGGGUUGUAAAGCACUUUUGGCAGGAAAGAAACGUCAUGGGUUAAUACCCCGUGAAACUGACGGUACCUGCAGAAUAAGCACCGGCUAACUACGUGCCAGCAGCCGCGGUAAUACGUAGGGUGCAAGCGUUAAUCGGAAUUACUGGGCGUAAAGCGUGCGCAGGCGGUUCGGAAAGAAAGAUGUGAAAUCCCAGAGCUCAACUUUGGAACUGCAUUAUUAACUACCGGGCUAGAGUGUGUCAGAGGGAGGUGGAAUUCGGCGUGUAGCAGUGAAAUGCGUAGAUAUGCGGAGGAACACCGAUGGCGAAGGCAGCCUCCUGGGAUAACACUGACGCUCAUGCACGAAAGCGUGGGGAGCAAACAGG